UUAAGUUAUUAAGGGCGCACGGUGGAUGCCUUGGCACUAGAAGCCGAUGAAGGACGUUACUAACGACGAUAUGCUUUGGGGAGCUGUAAGUAAGCUUUGAUCCAGAGAUUUCCGAAUGGGGAAACCCAGCAUGAGUUAUGUCAUGUUAUCGAUAUGUGAAUACAUAGCAUAUCAGAAGGCACACCCGGAGAACUGAAACAUCUUAGUACCCGGAGGAAGAAAAAGAAAAUUCGAUUCCCUUAGUAGCGGCGAGCGAAACGGGAAGAGCCCAAACCAACAAGCUUGCUUGUUGGGGUUGUAGGACACUCUAUACGGAGUUACAAAGGACGACAUUAGACGAAUCAUCUGGAAAGAUGAAUCAAAGAAGGUAAUAAUCCUGUAGUCGAAAAUGUUGUCUCUCUUGAGUGGAUCCUGAGUACGACGGAGCACGUGAAAUUCCGUCGGAAUCUGGGAGGACCAUCUCCUAAGGCUAAAUACUCUCUAGUGACCGAUAGUGAACCAGUACCGUGAGGGAAAGGUGAAAAGCACCCCGGAAGGGGAGUGAAAUAGAACCUGAAACCGUGUGCUUACAAGUAGUCAGAGCCCGUUAAUGGGUGAUGGCGUGCCUUUUGUAGAAUGAACCGGCGAGUUACGAUUUGAUGCAAGGUUAAGCAGUAAAUGUGGAGCCGUAGCGAAAGCGAGUCUGAAUAGGGCGUUUAGUAUUUGGUCGUAGACCCGAAACCAGGUGAUCUACCCUUGGUCAGGUUGAAGUUCAGGUAACACUGAAUGGAGGACCGAACCGACUUACGUUGAAAAGUGAGCGGAUGAACUGAGGGUAGCGGAGAAAUUCCAAUCGAACCUGGAGAUAGCUGGUUCUCUCCGAAAUAGCUUUAGGGCUAGCCUCAAGUGAUGAUUAUUGGAGGUAGAGCACUGUUUGGACGAGGGGCCCCUCUCGGGUUACCGAAUUCAGACAAACUCCGAAUGCCAAUUAAUUUAACUUGGGAGUCAGAACAUGGGUGAUAAGGUCCGUGUUCGAAAGGGAAACAGCCCAGACCACCAGCUAAGGUCCCAAAAUAUAUGUUAAGUGGAAAAGGAUGUGGCGUUGCCCAGACAACUAGGAUGUUGGCUUAGAAGCAGCCAUCAUUUAAAGAGUGCGUAAUAGCUCACUAGUCGAGUGACACUGCGCCGAAAAUGUACCGGGGCUAAACAUAUUACCGAAGCUGUGGAUUGUCCUUUGGACAAUGGUAGGAGAGCGUUCUAAGGGCGUUGAAGCAUGAUCGUAAGGACAUGUGGAGCGCUUAGAAGUGAGAAUGCCGGUGUGAGUAGCGAAAGACGGGUGAGAAUCCCGUCCACCGAUUGACUAAGGUUUCCAGAGGAAGGCUCGUCCGCUCUGGGUUAGUCGGGUCCUAAGCUGAGGCCGACAGGCGUAGGCGAUGGAUAACAGGUUGAUAUUCCUGUACCACCUAUAAUCGUUUUAAUCGAUGGGGGGACGCAGUAGGAUAGGCGAAGCGUGCGAUUGGAUUGCACGUCUAAGCAGUAAGGCUGAGUAUUAGGCAAAUCCGGUACUCAUUAAGGCUGAGCUGUGAUGGGGAGAAGACAUUGUGUCUUCGAGUCGUUGAUUUCACACUGCCGAGAAAAGCCUCUAGAUAGAAAAUAGGUGCCCGUACCGCAAACCGACACAGGUAGUCAAGAUGAGAAUUCUAAGGUGAGCGAGCGAACUCUCGUUAAGGAACUCGGCAAAAUGACCCCGUAACUUCGGGAGAAGGGGUGCUCUUUAGGGUUAACGCCCAGAAGAGCCGCAGUGAAUAGGCCCAAGCGACUGUUUAUCAAAAACACAGGUCUCUGCUAAACCGUAAGGUGAUGUAUAGGGGCUGACGCCUGCCCGGUGCUGGAAGGUUAAGAGGAGUGGUUAGCUUCUGCGAAGCUACGAAUCGAAGCCCCAGUAAACGGCGGCCGUAACUAUAACGGUCCUAAGGUAGCGAAAUUCCUUGUCGGGUAAGUUCCGACCCGCACGAAAGGCGUAACGAUUUGGGCACUGUCUCAACGAGAGACUCGGUGAAAUCAUAGUACCUGUGAAGAUGCAGGUUACCCGCGACAGGACGGAAAGACCCCGUGGAGCUUUACUGUAGCCUGAUAUUGAAAUUCGGCACAGCUUGUACAGGAUAGGUAGGAGCCUUUGAAACGUGAGCGCUAGCUUACGUGGAGGCGCUGGUGGGAUACUACCCUAGCUGUGUUGGCUUUCUAACCCGCACCACUUAUCGUGGUGGGAGACAGUGUCAGGCGGGCAGUUUGACUGGGGCGGUCGCCUCCUAAAAGGUAACGGAGGCGCUCAAAGGUUCCCUCAGAAUGGUUGGAAAUCAUUCAUAGAGUGUAAAGGCAUAAGGGAGCUUGACUGCGAGACCUACAAGUCGAGCAGGGUCGAAAGACGGACUUAGUGAUCCGGUGGUUCCGCAUGGAAGGGCCAUCGCUCAACGGAUAAAAGCUACCCCGGGGAUAACAGGCUUAUCUCCCCCAAGAGUUCACAUCGACGGGGAGGUUUGGCACCUCGAUGUCGGCUCAUCGCAUCCUGGGGCUGUAGUCGGUCCCAAGGGUUGGGCUGUUCGCCCAUUAAAGCGGUACGCGAGCUGGGUUCAGAACGUCGUGAGACAGUUCGGUCCCUAUCCGUCGUGGGCGUAGGAAAUUUGAGAGGAGCUGUCCUUAGUACGAGAGGACCGGGAUGGACAUACCUCUGGUGUACCAGUUGUCGUGCCAACGGCAUAGCUGGGUAGCUAUGUGUGGACGGGAUAAGUGCUGAAAGCAUCUAAGCAUGAAGCCCCCCUCAAGAUGAGAUUUCCCAACUUCGGUUAUAAGAUCCCUCAAAGAUGAUGAGGUUAAUAGGUUCGAGGUGGAAGCAUGGUGACAUGUGGAGCUGACGAAUACUAAUCGAUCGAAGACUUAAUCAA
RNAcentral lists this ribosomal RNA (2921 nucleotides) under Staphylococcus aureus. RNAcentral's name for it is "bacterial LSU rRNA". It matches the Rfam family "Bacterial large subunit ribosomal RNA". The record is from RNAcentral. Lineage: Bacteria; Bacillati; Bacillota; Bacilli; Caryophanales; Staphylococcaceae.